This 2903-nucleotide ribosomal RNA is filed under the name Escherichia coli. RNAcentral describes it as "23S ribosomal RNA". It matches the Rfam family "Bacterial large subunit ribosomal RNA". Lineage: Bacteria; Pseudomonadati; Pseudomonadota; Gammaproteobacteria; Enterobacterales; Enterobacteriaceae. The record is from RNAcentral.
GGUUAAGCGACUAAGCGUACACGGUGGAUGCCCUGGCAGUCAGAGGCGAUGAAGGACGUGCUAAUCUGCGAUAAGCGUCGGUAAGGUGAUAUGAACCGUUAUAACCGGCGAUUUCCGAAUGGGGAAACCCAGUGUGUUUCGACACACUAUCAUUAACUGAAUCCAUAGGUUAAUGAGGCGAACCGGGGGAACUGAAACAUCUAAGUACCCCGAGGAAAAGAAAUCAACCGAGAUUCCCCCAGUAGCGGCGAGCGAACGGGGAGCAGCCCAGAGCCUGAAUCAGUGUGUGUGUUAGUGGAAGCGUCUGGAAAGGCGCGCGAUACAGGGUGACAGCCCCGUACACAAAAAUGCACAUGCUGUGAGCUCGAUGAGUAGGGCGGGACACGUGGUAUCCUGUCUGAAUAUGGGGGGACCAUCCUCCAAGGCUAAAUACUCCUGACUGACCGAUAGUGAACCAGUACCGUGAGGGAAAGGCGAAAAGAACCCCGGCGAGGGGAGUGAAAAAGAACCUGAAACCGUGUACGUACAAGCAGUGGGAGCACGCUUAGGCGUGUGACUGCGUACCUUUUGUAUAAUGGGUCAGCGACUUAUAUUCUGUAGCAAGGUUAACCGAAUAGGGGAGCCGAAGGGAAACCGAGUCUUAACUGGGCGUUAAGUUGCAGGGUAUAGACCCGAAACCCGGUGAUCUAGCCAUGGGCAGGUUGAAGGUUGGGUAACACUAACUGGAGGACCGAACCGACUAAUGUUGAAAAAUUAGCGGAUGACUUGUGGCUGGGGGUGAAAGGCCAAUCAAACCGGGAGAUAGCUGGUUCUCCCCGAAAGCUAUUUAGGUAGCGCCUCGUGAAUUCAUCUCCGGGGGUAGAGCACUGUUUCGGCAAGGGGGUCAUCCCGACUUACCAACCCGAUGCAAACUGCGAAUACCGGAGAAUGUUAUCACGGGAGACACACGGCGGGUGCUAACGUCCGUCGUGAAGAGGGAAACAACCCAGACCGCCAGCUAAGGUCCCAAAGUCAUGGUUAAGUGGGAAACGAUGUGGGAAGGCCCAGACAGCCAGGAUGUUGGCUUAGAAGCAGCCAUCAUUUAAAGAAAGCGUAAUAGCUCACUGGUCGAGUCGGCCUGCGCGGAAGAUGUAACGGGGCUAAACCAUGCACCGAAGCUGCGGCAGCGACACUAUGUGUUGUUGGGUAGGGGAGCGUUCUGUAAGCCUGUGAAGGUGUGCUGUGAGGCAUGCUGGAGGUAUCAGAAGUGCGAAUGCUGACAUAAGUAACGAUAAAGCGGGUGAAAAGCCCGCUCGCCGGAAGACCAAGGGUUCCUGUCCAACGUUAAUCGGGGCAGGGUGAGUCGACCCCUAAGGCGAGGCCGAAAGGCGUAGUCGAUGGGAAACAGGUUAAUAUUCCUGUACUUGGUGUUACUGCGAAGGGGGGACGGAGAAGGCUAUGUUGGCCGGGCGACGGUUGUCCCGGUUUAAGCGUGUAGGCUGGUUUUCCAGGCAAAUCCGGAAAAUCAAGGCUGAGGCGUGAUGACGAGGCACUACGGUGCUGAAGCAACAAAUGCCCUGCUUCCAGGAAAAGCCUCUAAGCAUCAGGUAACAUCAAAUCGUACCCCAAACCGACACAGGUGGUCAGGUAGAGAAUACCAAGGCGCUUGAGAGAACUCGGGUGAAGGAACUAGGCAAAAUGGUGCCGUAACUUCGGGAGAAGGCACGCUGAUAUGUAGGUGAAGUCCCUUGCGGAUGGAGCUGAAAUCAGUCGAAGAUACCAGCUGGCUGCAACUGUUUAUUAAAAACACAGCACUGUGCAAACACGAAAGUGGACGUAUACGGUGUGACGCCUGCCCGGUGCCGGAAGGUUAAUUGAUGGGGUCAGCGCAAGCGAAGCUCUUGAUCGAAGCCCCGGUAAACGGCGGCCGUAACUAUAACGGUCCUAAGGUAGCGAAAUUCCUUGUCGGGUAAGUUCCGACCUGCACGAAUGGCGUAAUGAUGGCCAGGCUGUCUCCACCCGAGACUCAGUGAAAUUGAACUCGCUGUGAAGAUGCAGUGUACCCGCGGCAAGACGGAAAGACCCCGUGAACCUUUACUAUAGCUUGACACUGAACAUUGAGCCUUGAUGUGUAGGAUAGGUGGGAGGCUUUGAAGUGUGGACGCCAGUCUGCAUGGAGCCGACCUUGAAAUACCACCCUUUAAUGUUUGAUGUUCUAACGUGGACCCGUGAUCCGGGUUGCGGACAGUGUCUGGUGGGUAGUUUGACUGGGGCGGUCUCCUCCUAAAGAGUAACGGAGGAGCACGAAGGUUGGCUAAUCCUGGUCGGACAUCAGGAGGUUAGUGCAAUGGCAUAAGCCAGCUUGACUGCGAGCGUGACGGCGCGAGCAGGUGCGAAAGCAGGUCAUAGUGAUCCGGUGGUUCUGAAUGGAAGGGCCAUCGCUCAACGGAUAAAAGGUACUCCGGGGAUAACAGGCUGAUACCGCCCAAGAGUUCAUAUCGACGGCGGUGUUUGGCACCUCGAUGUCGGCUCAUCACAUCCUGGGGCUGAAGUAGGUCCCAAGGGUAUGGCUGUUCGCCAUUUAAAGUGGUACGCGAGCUGGGUUUAGAACGUCGUGAGACAGUUCGGUCCCUAUCUGCCGUGGGCGCUGGAGAACUGAGGGGGGCUGCUCCUAGUACGAGAGGACCGGAGUGGACGCAUCACUGGUGUUCGGGUUGUCAUGCCAAUGGCACUGCCCGGUAGCUAAAUGCGGAAGAGAUAAGUGCUGAAAGCAUCUAAGCACGAAACUUGCCCCGAGAUGAGUUCUCCCUGACUCCUUGAGAGUCCUGAAGGAACGUUGAAGACGACGACGUUGAUAGGCCGGGUGUGUAAGCGCAGCGAUGCGUUGAGCUAACCGGUACUAAUGAACCGUGAGGCUUAACCUU